Molecule: ribosomal RNA, 624 nt
Filed under: Anatololacerta sp.
Lineage: Eukaryota; Metazoa; Chordata; Lepidosauria; Squamata; Lacertidae
Description: partial large subunit ribosomal RNA
Source: RNAcentral
GGAAGACCUAAAAAUAGUGGCAAAAAGCCAACCGAGCUUGGUGAUAGCUGGUUACUCAACAAAUGAACCUUAGUUCAACUUUAGGUGCCCAUGGGCCAACUACUUUAACCCACCACCCUUUAACCUAAAGAAAUUCAAUGGGGGUACAGCCCCAUUGAACCGGAGUACAACCCGAAUUGAGAGACACCUACUAAACUUUAACCCUAACAGUAGGCCCCAAAGCAGCCACCAACUAAACGCGUUACAGCUACAACAAAACAAUUUUUACAAUAAUAUAUACCUCCUAAUAUACCACGAGUUAUUCUAUUUUCUAAUAGAAACACCAAUGCUAAAAUUAGUAAUAAGAAACCCUAAUUUCUCUCCGCACCCCCUUAAAUCAGAAUAGAAAAACUACUGAUAAUUAACACAACACGACCUACAACAACUAGCUAACAUGUCAACUAAAAUCUGUUACCCCAACACAGGAGUGCAAAAAAGAAAGGCAAAAAGCCAUAAAAGGAACUCGGCAAACCCUACCGUCCCAACUGUUUACCAAAAACAUAGCCUUUAGCUCAACAAGUAUUAAAGGUCCCGCCUGCCCAGUGACUCUUUAAACGGCCGCGGUAUCCUAACCGUGCAAAGGUA